AGAGUUUGAUCAUGGCUCAGGACGAACGCUGGCGGCGUGCCUAACACAUGCAAGUCGAGCGAUGAAACCCUUCGGGGUGGAUUAGCGGCGGACGGGUGAGUAACACGUGGGUAACCUGCCUCAAAGAGGGGAAUAGCCUCCCGAAAGGGAGAUUAAUACCGCAUAAUAUGUUUUGGUCGCAUGACCUUAACAUCAAAGGAUGUUCUUCGGAACUUCCACUUUGAGAUGGACCCGCGGCGCAUUAGCUAGUUGGUGAGGUAAAGGCCCACCAAGGCAACGAUGCGUAGCCGACCUGAGAGGGUGAUCGGCCACAUUGGAACUGAGACACGGUCCAGACUCCUACGGGAGGCAGCAGUGGGGAAUAUUGCGCAAUGGGGGAAACCCUGACGCAGCAACGCCGCGUGAAUGAUGAAGGCCUUCGGGUUGUAAAGUUCUGUCUUCUGGGACGAUAAUGACGGUACCAGAGGAGGAAGCCACGGCUAACUACGUGCCAGCAGCCGCGGUAAUACGUAGGUGGCAAGCGUUGUCCGGAUUUACUGGGCAAAGGAUGCGUAGGCGGACAUUUAAGUCAGAUGUGAAAUACCCGAGCUUAACUUGGGUGCUGCAUUUGAAACUGGGUGUCUAGAGUGCAGGAGAGGUAAGUGGAAUUCCUAGUGUAGCGGUGAAAUGCGUAGAGAUUAGGAAGAACACCAGUGGCGAAGGCGACUUACUGGACUGUAACUGACGCUGAGGCAUGAAAGCGUGGGGAGCAAACAGGAUUAGAUACCCUAGUAGUCC
This 777-nucleotide ribosomal RNA is filed under the name uncultured bacterium. Its description in RNAcentral is "bacterial SSU rRNA". It matches the Rfam family "Bacterial small subunit ribosomal RNA", at positions 8 to 796 of the family's 1533-position model. The record is from RNAcentral.